UACGUAGGGUGCGAGCGUUAAUCGGAAUUACUGGGCGUAAAGCGUGCGCAGGCGGUUUUGUAAGACAGAUGUGAAAUCCCCGGGCUUAACCUGGGAACUGCGUUUGUGACUGCAAGACUAGAGUGCGGCAGAGGGGGGUGGAAUUCCACGUGUAGCAGUGAAAUGCGUAGAGAUGUGGAGGAACACCGAUGGCGAAGGCAGCCCCCUGGGCCGAUACUGACGCUCAUGCACGAAAGCGUGGGGAGCAAACAGGAUUAGAUACCCCCGUAGUCC
Molecule: ribosomal RNA, 273 nt
Filed under: uncultured bacterium
Lineage: Bacteria
Description: partial 16S ribosomal RNA
Rfam family: Bacterial small subunit ribosomal RNA
Source: RNAcentral